UUUCUAUAUGCAGUUGGUGGAGUCACUGGAGGAUUGGGAGUUUUAAUCUUCAUUUUCAUCAUUGUGUUGCUCAUGAGGAAAAAACAGAGACCUACUCACACCACACAAAAGCAGGAUUAUCUUUAUGCUAAUGUAUCAGCUCACAAUGGGUCUCUAUCUGAAUCUGAUGCCACAAAUCAAAACGAUGCCUUGUAUUCCUUAAUUACUCUCAGCAAUUUCAGUCACAA
This is a long non-coding RNA of Carassius auratus (goldfish), 227 nucleotides long. RefSeq lists it as uncharacterized. The record is from RefSeq and is a predicted model, not a curated record. NCBI's taxonomy places the organism in Eukaryota, Metazoa, Chordata, Actinopteri, Cypriniformes, Cyprinidae. The transcript has 3 exons.